CCGCCUACUUACUGCUAAGGUGAUCGGUGAUUGGUUUUCGUGACGUCACUCAUCAAGUUUGGUUGCAUGGCGGCGGUUGUUGGCGUUGCUGUCAUAAAUCAGACAUCAACACGGGAGGAGAGAGCUAGUCGUCACGAUGCAGUUCCUGGGGCGUCUUUUGGACACCGUGUCGUCCGUAUCCACCCUGUUCACCAACCCUUACCGGGUGAGGGACGUGCAGUUGUCCGACUACGACGGGGGAGGGAAGGUCAAGCUGAGGCAGGAAGGACGUCUGGUUCUCUAUAAGAACCCCCAGUGCCAGUCGUGGGAUUGUGUCCUGAUAUGUCCCGACACUCCGGCGGCAGCCCUCAGGCUUUUCCAGGUGGCGUCAGAGGAGGACGCCAUGAACUGGUUCCCGCAGUACGCGCUUAAGCUUCCGCCCUUUUACGACAUUCUCCCGCCAAUGAAGCCCGAGACCGCCCAGAUGAUCGUGGACUGCCUGCGCAACCACCCGAAUUGGAGCGCCGCUCACAUUGCCGUGGACACGGGCCUCAGGGAGUGUCUGAAACACAACUACGUCCAGAGUCAGAUCAACGCUCGGGACGCACUCGGCCAGACGCCGCUGCACCUGGCGUGCGAGCGAAGCGACGUGGCCUGCGUGAAGGAGCUGCUCGAGGAGAGCCAGGCUCGCACGGACAUCAGAGACCACCAGGGAGAGACGCCCAUGCACAUUGCCGCCAAGCACGACUCCCCUGCCGUCAUCCAGGUGUUGUGCUCGCGCUUGUGCUCGGGAGUGAACGAGCUGAACAACAGCAGGGAGACGCCGCUCCACGUUUCUUGCCGCCUGGGCCGAAUGGAGGCCGUCAAAGCCCUCUUGGGGGGCGGGGCCAAGUGCAACGUCCCCGGCGGCGCCGGCUACCCGAUCCACUCUGCCGUGAAGUACAGUGAGAAGAGCUGUACAGAAGAGAUCCUGAAAGCGGAUCCUGACCAGCUGCACGCGGAAGACUCUUUGUAUGGCGGGACCCCCCUCCACUGGGCUAAAACUGCAGAGAUGUGUCGCAUGCUGCUGGAGAGGGGCAGCGCAAUCAACUACCUCAGUAAGACCGGCGAGAGCGCGCUCCACAUUUGCACCAAGAAGGGUCGCUUCGAGGCAGCCAUGGUCUUGCUCACACACGGCGCCAACGCCAAUCUGAAGGGGCAGGACGGCAACACGGCGUUGCACCUCGCCAUGAAGAUGGAUCACAUGGAGUUGAUCAAAGCUCUGAUCGUGUUCGGUGCCGACGUGGAGAUCCACAACGACUUGGGAGAGACCCCGGGGCUGAUCGCCGCUCGUACAAGCAAAGGUCCUAAUAGAAAGAUACUGCUGGACAUGCUGUGUAGUGUGGGUGUGCAUCGCUGCCUGCCCCCCUCCUCUGGCAGCCCUCCGCCCAUCGCCAACAAGGUCGCGGUGCCAGGCAUUGGGUUUGAGGACAUGAUGCACAUGGGGGCUGCAAUCGCUGCAAUGAGCAGAGGCAAGUCGGAAGUGGACGGUUCCAGAAUGGGCAAAAAGAGGAUGGACACGCUGCUGUGUCUGGACGGGGGUGGAAUCAGGGGCUUGGUCCUAAUCCAGUUGCUCAUCGCUCUGGAGAAAGAGGCCGGCCGGCCCACCAGGGAGCUCUUCGACUGGGUGGCUGGCACAAGCACGGGCGGCAUCCUGGCCCUCGCUAUCGUCCACGGGAAGUCCAUGGAGUACCUCCGCUGUUUGUACUUUCGAAUGAAGGAGCAGGUGUUCAGAGGCUCGCGGCCGUACGAGUCGGCGCCGCUGGAGGACUUUCUCAAGAAGGAGUUUGGAGAGAACACCAAAAUGGCAGAUGUUCAGUACCCCAGGGUGAUGGUGACCAGUGUCCUGGCAGACAGACACCCGGGAGAGCUUCACAUUUUCAGGAACUACGACCCUCCCGUCCGCAGAGAGCCCCCGUAUGCCACCACCGCCACCUUCAAAGCCCUCACGGUCCCGCGAGGAUGGGAGGAUGAGGAUGUGUUGCUAGUAGGAUACACAGUGGAACCGCCCAAUAAGUGUAGGAAGGUGACGGAUGAAGAACAACUCGUGUGGCGAGCUGCCCGCUCCAGUGGUGCUGCCCCCACCUACUUCCGGCCAAUGGGACGCUUCCUGGAUGGCGGGCUGUUGUCCAACAACCCUACGCUCGACGCCAUGUCGGAGGUGCAUCGGUACUACAAAGUGCUGAAAGCAGAGGGUCAUGGGGCAGAAAUCAAGAAGUUGGGUCUUGUGGUUUCUCUUGGGACUGGAAAGCCUCCCCAGGUGGCGGUGAGUUCCGUGGAUGUUUUCCGACCCUCCAAUCCACUGGAGUUGGCCAAGAGCAUCGUAGGUGCCAAGGAGUUGGGCAAGAUGCUGGUGGACUGCUGUACGGACUCUGACGGGUGCGCUGUGGACCGAGCCACUGCCUGGUGUGAAAUGACCGACACCAUCUACCACAGGCUGAGCCCGCAGCUUUCCCAGGAGGUGAUGCUGGACGAAGUGAGCGACGCCAUCCUGGUGGACAUGCUGUGGGAAACGCAGAUGUACCUUUACGACAAGAGGGAGGUGCUUCAGUCCCUGGCCAAAGCGCUCACGGACAACUGCAAAGGAGAGAAAAGCCCUCACCUGAGCGCUGAACGUACAAACUGAGGCGGUCUGUGAGUCUUGACGCCAAUGCCAUCAUCUGACCUCUCAAGCCCGAUAACAGGUGGUGCCGGUGCUCAAUUUCAGCGGAAGCAUUGCAUCGUGGGAAAGGUGCGGUGGCGACGCCUGUGAAGCUGAUGUCAGGUGCUGUCGACUGCAUGAGGCGGAACCCAGAUCUGAACUGAGCCACGCUGCCUUCAAGCAGGUUUUAUUCUUCGUUUUUAAGGUAUAAAUAAAUCCGCAGAGUUGGCUGACUACAAACGAGAGGAAGUGUGCAACCAGAUCCGAACUGGGGAGCUCAUGAAGAGGAACCAAUAAAGGAAGUCCUCGCGUCGACUGAGAAUACACUCUCUGCAAGUGACCUAUAACCCCUUCAAACAGGUUUCUUUUUUCGUGUUUGAGGUAUAAAUAACAUUCUAGAAAUACUUUGAAUUGGACAGUCCUACAAACAACAGAGGAAGGGGACCACCAAUUUCAAACUGAGGACUUUUGAUCUGCAGUCAAACUUCUGUUCCACUGAGCUGUACCCGCUUUGAGAUAGCUUUUAUGUUUCCAUAUUUAACGUAUCAGUAAGGAAAGUCCCUUCAGAUACGGACUGGAUGUUUCCACAACGGUCCCACAAAGGGUAUCAAACUCAUUUUGUAGUUACGGUUUCUGUCCGAGGGCCAUUACGACUGAUAGCACGAAAAACUGUAAUAUUUACACGUUAAAUUUAUCAACUAGUUUUGGAAUCAGAAAUCAAGUGUAAUGGGUUUUUCAGCUAUUGUUGAUGUUUGGUAACACAAAAAUGCUUGCAAUAUCUAUCUAUCUAAUUUAUUAUAUGACAGUUUAGUCACGAACCUCGGGGGCGUGGCUGGGCCCAAAUGCAGGACUCCGAGAUGGGGGCAUUAUGUUAGGCGUAGUUUUAUUGAAAGCUGAGGUCAUACACAAUGUAAGCAGUCCGAGAAGGCAGAGGUACAGAAACGCUAGGCUAGGUAGGAUCCAAAAGACGAGGUCUGAUGACUAGGAGGCAAACUAGGAAACAUGAACUAGGACUUCACUCAGACUAUAAAACAUCAACUUGUCAUGAGCCCGGCUGGACCACGGCCAAGAGGGGCGUGGCCACUGCCCUGGCCGGUGACACCUGUCACCGCUCACAGAUGUUUCUUAUUGGGACUGCAAUUAGAUGGUGUCUUUAAAUUGGACUUUUGGUCACUGGCAUUCGGCAGUUCGCUGUGCGUUGUUCCCUGAGUUAGUGUGUUGCAUUCCUUGACAGUAGGAAUCUCCACCACUGAAAAUGGUGGAGUGUUGAGCUAUCCUCGUCACAGUGUUUCCACCUCAGUUUCGUCCUGCCUUAGUUAAUGUUCCAUAGUCAAGUCCUAGUUCAUAGUUUGUCUCCUAGUCAUCAGACCUCACUUAACGUUUUUGGAUCCUGGCUUUGCUUAGCGUUUCUUUACCUCUGCUUACACCGUGCAUGACCUCAGCUUUGAAUAAAACUACUCCUAACAUCAUGUCCUCGUCUUGGAGACCUGCAUUUGGGCCCAGCCCCGCACCGCAGGUUUGUGACAAAACUAAGACAGGACUAAACUGUGGUGGCACAGAAACGCAAAGACGAGGAUAGCUCAACACUACACUAUUCUCAGUGGUGGUGAUUCCUACUGUCAGUGAAUGCAACUCACUAAUUCAGGGCACAACGAACUUCCAAUUGCCAGUGACAAAAACUCCAACUUAAUCACCCGUGUAAUUACAGUCCCAAUGUGAAAUAGCUCUGAGCAGUGGCGUGGCCACCCCCCUCUUGGCAGUGGCCAAGUCUUGCUCAUGACAAGUUUGAAAUUUUGGUUCAAAAUUGAACAAAAAUCAUGGAAGUUGAUACAUGUGAUUUGCCUUUGCGGGCCACAUAAAAUCAUGUGACGGGCCGGAUCUGGCCCUCAGGCCUUGAGUUUGACAUCUGUGGUUAACGCUAUCUAAAAAGGACUAAAGGGGCACCCAGACUUUAAUCGGGAAUUUCGAUUUACAAUCAAAAUGCUUUACCAUUUAAGCUAAAACCGUUUGAUACACCUUUUGGUGUUUCCGUUUCUGGUAUAAAGAAAGUCUUCAUGGAUUUGGACCCGUAAAUGUCGGCACAAAGAACACGAGGAGGGGGCACCGAGUCUUAAACCGGGGAACUCAAAUGUUGUGACACAUAAAACAUUAAAAUGCCGUUCGUGAGUCUUAACUGCAAAAAAACGUAGAACCAAGUAGAUCAAGCGGGAGACUAGCCAAAGCCAUUCCGGAGCAAUCAGGACACUUCCUCGUUCAUCUGGAAGAAAGUGUGGAAGUCCCACUGAUGCCAUGAUGUCACCUCAUUGAACGAGUGAACGCUUUCCUCCAUUAACCCGGAGCAGACAGCGCUGUAUUGUUUUCGGAGCCAAAAGAACCACAUCAGCCCUCGCGAGCAACGCCCGCACAUCCUCCGCUCCCGACGCGGCCACAAUGAGGCAAAAAUCCUCCCUUUGGAUGAGGGAAGGGAGGGGUGGUCGGGGGGGGGGGGGGAAUUCCCCCAUCCUCACGGUUCCCAGCGUGCUUGUAAUUAGCGUGAGACCUUUACAAAUUGGCCUCUGUGGAAAGGAAAAGAGCGAAAACGCUGAAGAAAAAAAUGAAAUCCUCAAGAGACGGUGGAUGUUGAUGCUUUCUUAUUGUACUGUAACGUGACAGAAUUCUCCCUAUGUAGCGAUGUUCGAAUUAACUUGUCUUUCAGGAUUUUUCAAAUACAAAAAAAAAAAAAAAAUAACGGCUCCAAGAUGCUUGCGUUAGCGGGUGUUCGAGGUUGUAGAGUUGAACCGUAAAAGUCCAUCACAGGCAAAAUUCAGAACCGCUUGGUCACGUCCAACUUUUCAAAUGAAUUAGUUCAGUUCAUCAUGUAACGUUUCGAAUGAAGUCCAUUGUUCUUUUUACGGUGGAUCAGCUGGUAAAGCGUUGGCCUCACAGUCCUGACGUCCCAGGGUUCAAACCCGGACCCGCCUGUGCAGAGUUUGCAUGUUCUCCCGUGCCUGCGUGGGUUUCCUCCGGGUACUCCGGUUCCUUCCCACAUCCCAAAAAACAUCCAACACUAAUUGGAGACUCCAAAUUGACCCUAGGUGUGAUUGUGAACGCGGCUGCGUACCCUGCGAUUGGCUGGCCACCAGUACAGGGUGUACCCCGCCUCCUAUCCGUUGACACCUGUUAUAGGCUCUGCCAUUCCCCGCGACCCUCGUGAGGAUAAGCGACAAAGAAAAUGGAUGGAUGGAUGGAUCGGUUUAUUACCCUCAUUUCACUAGUAGCUAGCUACAGCUUUCACCCUACUGGCUCAAAAAUGAGGAAAAACUCACUUGAAUGGUCUUUUUUGUUUUUAUGUAAAAUUAAAAUAAAAACAGGUCUUUUGUCUUUAUAGUCUUUGUACUGAAUUUUCAAACCCUAUCAUGCAACGCAAUAUGA
Molecule: RNA transcript, 6070 nt
Organism: Syngnathoides biaculeatus (alligator pipefish)
Lineage: Eukaryota; Metazoa; Chordata; Actinopteri; Syngnathiformes; Syngnathidae
Gene: pla2g6
Gene name: phospholipase A2, group VI (cytosolic, calcium-independent)
Exons: 20
Source: RefSeq, a predicted model, not a curated record